CCCUGAGGAAGCCAGCCCUGAUUACAGAAUGGGCCCCACCUGAGAGAAAUUAGGUGAUUUCAGGUUAACUACUGAGUGGGCCCAGCUGAGGAAGGGCUGGAGGAAACAGAAUGCAGGGAGUCAAAAGGUGCCUGCAGGGUGUUGAGUGAGCACCCAGGGGAGAGACUGGGAGACCUAGAAGGGAAGGAAAGAGGUGAGGAAGGAAAUGGCACAAGGAAAAUUGUAACAUGGGUAGAGGAUUUGAUUUAGCUGUGCAGUACAGAGCCCUGGGCUGGAACCUGAAACCACCCCAGCCCCAGAGUGACUGUUGACAGGGACACUGUGAUGCUCUGCCUGGCCAUGAGGAAGUGCAUAGUGGUCCUUUGGAAGAAAUUUCAUACACAAUGAAAUCCAAGAUUGCCUACCUGGAACUUCUUUUUUUGGAUGGGAUAAGUACUGCUGGUAUGAAUUGCAAGCCCUGGAAAGUCUUGAUAGAGCAUCUUAAACAGCAAAGCGUAGAG
Long non-coding RNA from Mauremys mutica (yellowpond turtle), 500 nucleotides. RefSeq lists it as uncharacterized. Lineage: Eukaryota; Metazoa; Chordata; Testudines; Geoemydidae. The transcript has 3 exons. The record is from RefSeq and is a predicted model, not a curated record.